GACGAACGCUGGCGGCGUGCCUAACACAUGCAAGUCAACUUGACUGAAGGAGCAAUCUGACAGUAGAGUGGCGCAAGGGUGCGUAACGCGUAAGUAACUUGCCCCAAGGUAAGGAAUAACGUCGAGAAAUCGGCGCUAAUACCUCAUAAUGCAGCGGAUCCGCAUGGAUAUGUUGUUAAAGGUUUACCGCCUUGGGAUAGGCUUGCGUCUGAUUAGUUAGUUGGUGUGGUAACGGCACACCAAGGCUACGAUCAGUAACUGGUCUGAGAGGAUGAUCAGUCACACUGGAACUGAGACACGGUCCAGACUCCUAC
Molecule: ribosomal RNA, 314 nt
Filed under: uncultured bacterium
Lineage: Bacteria
Description: bacterial SSU rRNA
Rfam family: Bacterial small subunit ribosomal RNA
Source: RNAcentral